Molecule: long non-coding RNA, 1607 nt
Organism: Oncorhynchus tshawytscha (Chinook salmon)
Lineage: Eukaryota; Metazoa; Chordata; Actinopteri; Salmoniformes; Salmonidae
Source: Ensembl
CACACACACACCUACUACCUGCCCCCCACUGUUAACUAACACACACACACAGGAAAGGUCGCUGGUUCAAAUCCCCCCGCCGACUAAAGUGAAAAUCUGACAAUGUGCCCUUGAGCAAGGCAACUAACCACACUGGCUCCUGUAAGUUGCUCUGGAUAAGAGCGUCUGCUAAAUGACUCCAAUUUCAAAGUGUAAAUUCACUUCCUGUAGUAGAGCCGGAAUGACUGCCUCAUGAAUAUUCAGAGACGGACUGUUGAAUGACUGCCUCAUGAAUAUUCAGAGACAGACUGUUGAAUGACUGCCUCAUGAAUAUUCAGAGACAGACUGUUGAAUGACUGCCUCAUGAAUAUUCAGAGACAGACUGUUGAAUGACUGCCUCAUGAAUAUUCAGAGACAGACUGUUGAAUGACUGCCUCAUGAAUAUUCAGAGACGGACUGUUGAAUGACUGCCUCAUGAAUAUUCAGAGACAGACUGUUGAAUGACUGCCUCAUGAAUAUUCAGAGACGGACUGGUACACUCCAAGACAAAAGCUUUUUAAAUGCUGUAAAUGUUUUACUCGUAACCUACAAGAUGAACUGAUUUUAACUUUCACCUGCUCUGACGUUCGUGUCUGAGAAGCACAUUAUUUUCUGCUCUGAUAGGAUAGUCUGAUAGGUUAGUUUAAUACACUGCUCUGAUAGGUUAGUUUAAUACACUGCUCUGAUAGGUUAGUUUAAUACACUGCUCUGAUAGGAUAGUCUGAUAGGUUAGUUUAAUACACUGCUCUGAUAGGAUAGUUUUAUACACUGCUCUGAUAGGAUAGUCUGAUAGGUUAGUUUAAUACACUGCUCUGAUAGGUUAGUUUUAUACACUGCUCUGAUAGGUUAGUUUUAUACACUGCUCUGAUAGGAUAGUUUAAUACACUGCUCUGAUAGGAUAGUCUGAUAGGGUAGUUUAAUACACUGCUCUGAUAGGAUAGUUUAAUACACUGCUCUGAUAGGUUAGUUUAAUACACUGCUCUGAUAGGAUAGUCUGAUAGGUUAGUUUAAUACACUGCUCUGAUAGGAUAGUUUUAUACACUGCUCUGAUAGGAUAGUCUGAUAGGUUAGUUUAAUACACUGCUCUGAUAGGAUAGUUUUAUACACUGCUCUGAUAGGAUAGUUUUAUACACUGCUCUGAUAGGGUAGUUUAAUACACUGCUCUGAUAGGGUAGUUUUAUACACUGCUCUGAUAGGGUAGUUUAAUACACUGCUCUGAUAGGGUAGUUUAAUACACUGCUCUGAUAGGAUAGUUUUAUACACUGCUCUGAUAGGGUAGUUUUAUACACUGCUCUGAUAGGAUAGUCUGAUAGGUUAGUUUAAUACACUGCUCUGAUAGGAUAGUCUGAUAGGGUAGUUUAAUACACUGCUCUGAUAGGGUAGUUUAAUACACUGCUCUGAUAGGGUAGUUUAAUACACUGCUCUGAUAGGGUAGUUUAAUACACUGCUCUGAUAGGAUAGUUUUAUACACUGCUCUGAUAGGAUAGUUUAAUACACUGCUCUGAUAGGUUAGUUUAAUACACUGCUCUGAAGACUGUUGAUGCCAUUGGAGAUCCACAAACUGACUGUGGAAUGUUUUGGUUCCUGAU